AAUGAACGCUGGCGGCGUGCUUAACACAUGCAAGUCGAACGAGAACGGAAUAUAGCUUGCUAUAUUUGUCAGCUAAGUGGCGCACGGGUGAGUAAUGUAUAGAUAACCUGCCCUUAAGAAAGGAAUAACAGUUGGAAACGACUGCUAAUGCCCUAUAUGCCUUUAAUACAUAAGUAUGCAAGGGAAACGCUUUAGUGCUUAAGGAUGGGUCUGUAUGGUAUCAGCUUGUUGGUGAGGUAAUGGCUCACCAAGGCUAUGACGCCUAACUGGUUUGAGAGGAUGAUCAGUCACACUGGAACUGAGACACGGUCCAGACUCCUACGGGAGGCAGCAGUGGGGAAUAUUGCACAAUGGACGAAAGUCUGAUGCAGCAACGCCGCGUGGAGGAUGACACAUUUCGGUGCGUAAACUCCUGUUAUAUAGGAAGAUAAUGACGGUACUAUAUGAAUAAGCACCGGCUAACUCCGUGCCAGCCGCCGCGGUAA
RNAcentral lists this ribosomal RNA (485 nucleotides) under uncultured bacterium. RNAcentral's name for it is "partial 16S ribosomal RNA". It matches the Rfam family "Bacterial small subunit ribosomal RNA", at positions 29 to 523 of the family's 1533-position model. The record is from RNAcentral.